AGUUUGAUCAUGGCUCAGGACGAACGCUGGCGGCGUGCUUAACACAUGCAAGUCGAACGAUGAACCACUUCGGUGGGGAUUAGUGGCGAACGGGUGAGUAACACGUGGGCAAUCUGCCCUUCACUCUGGGACAAGCCCUGGAAACGGGGUCUAAUACCGGAUACUGACCCUCGCAGGCAUCUGCGAGGUUCGAAAGCUCCGGCGGUGAAGGAUGAGCCCGCGGCCUAUCAGCUUGUUGGUGAGGUAAUGGCUCACCAAGGCGACGACGGGUAGCCGGCCUGAGAGGGCGACCGGCCACACUGGGACUGAGACACGGCCCAGACUCCUACGGGAGGCAGCAGUGGGGAAUAUUGCACAAUGGGCGAAAGCCUGAUGCAGCGACGCCGCGUGAGGGAUGACGGCCUUCGGGUUGUAAACCUCUUUCAGCAG
This 429-nucleotide ribosomal RNA is filed under the name Streptomyces cacaoi. Its description in RNAcentral is "bacterial SSU rRNA". It matches the Rfam family "Bacterial small subunit ribosomal RNA", at positions 10 to 442 of the family's 1533-position model. Lineage: Bacteria; Bacillati; Actinomycetota; Actinomycetes; Kitasatosporales; Streptomycetaceae. The record is from RNAcentral.